RNAcentral lists this unclassified non-coding RNA (4490 nucleotides) under Hevea brasiliensis (rubber tree). Lineage: Eukaryota; Viridiplantae; Streptophyta; Magnoliopsida; Malpighiales; Euphorbiaceae. The record is from RNAcentral.
GUUUACGAGCACUGGACAAUCAGGAAACUGAAUAGUGUAUUCGAGCAAGAACUAGACACAAGUCUUAAAUCAACAUCUCCAUGUUACUUUUUUAUAAACUAAAUGAAUUAAUGCUGUUACAUCUCUAGCAUUGAAUUUGCAAACAUAAAGCUGCAGAACAAAAAAAAACGAUGAUUGGACUUCUAAACUAAGAUGGCCUGAUAAAGCACUCAUCUUUUUACACACGUAUAGGCUUUUCAACUCAAAUGACAAUUUACUCCAAGUAAAAUACAGAGACCCAUAAUGUGGGGGAAAAAAUGAAUGAAUUGGAAUAUAUAUUUCAGUCCUUUUAAAAUUGAAAUCAUACAUAUGCAUGAUGGAAGAACCAUCUCUCCGAACGUAGAUGAAUGAGUGUAUGUGGUGCUCAAGGGUCGUAUGCAGGUUCAAUGUAAACUCAAUUGAAGUGUUUCAGUCGUUAGCCAAAAUGAAAACCAGACGACUUGAAAGAAGAGCUCGAAAGAUUUGGCAGCUUAAGAGUUGCAAUGACACCAGCUGCAAGAGCACAUAUAGAAGCCAGGGCAAAGGCAGGUAUAUUUCCUCCACCAAACAGAGCAUCCCAUGGACCCGCACCAAGGGAUAUAAUCAUCUGUGGAAUAACUAUUGCAAGAUUUAGAACUCCUAUCGCCAAUCCUUGGCCACCACCUGAAUCGGCAGUCAACUCUGCUGUGACAGAAAAUGGAACGCUAUACGUAAUCUGCAACUCACAACUAUUAGUGCAUGCUUUCAAGGGAAGAACUAGUAAAAUAUUGCAGUUAUUUUGAUAAAACUUUUACAUACAGCAAGAGGAAAGCCAAGAAGAGCAAAUACAAUCAAGGCAGCUAUCUUGAUAAAUGCACUGCCUCCAAUUACAUGUUCAAUUCCAUCAGAAUAUUCACCAACGGAUAUCAAACUAAUGAUAGCAGUGACUGCCAUGGAGGCAAAUACAAUAAAAUUGCUCAUUGCCCAUACAAGUCUUGGCCCCAUCCUCUGACACAUUGGUUCAAUCAAGAAGGAACUAAUGCCAAGAACAACCUACGGCAAAAUGAAGCAGAAAAUAAAUAAUUAUAGGAAAGAAAUAUCUGAAGAACGAAAUAAUAUCCUCAAUUUAAUUUGAACAACCCCUUAAAUAGACCCUUAAAUAGAUGCUACACAUUUUAAUAUGCUUUAUUUUAUGUCCCCCACCUUUUCUUAUCCCUUUUCUUUUAACUUUCUAAAAUUCUCCAUUAUUUAGUUGCAUUUUCUUUUACUCUCUCUAUUCAAGUUAAAAUUUUCAAAUUUUAGAAUUACUAAUAACAGAUUUUUUUUUUCAUCCCAUUUUUUUGCAAUGAUUAUGUCCAUUUUCAAAUUUGCAACUGAGUCAGUAUCCCCUGUGGAGACUAACUCAAAGCAUCACUUACAGAAUAGAAUAGCCAAGGAUGAUAGUAUCUAAGAAAAAUCGAACAAUUGAUGCACAAUUUUAAGUUCUUACUGAAUUCAAUAGCAAACCAAAUGCACCUUCUCUGACGCCUUGAUCAUACAACUUCACUUCAUCAGAAUUUCCUUUUGGAUCUCCAUGAUAAACUUCUCUACCCAUCCAAUCCGUAUCAAAUAGAAAGAAAGGGAACCAGGACAACCAGGUAAGAGCCAUAACAGCAAGCACAGAAUGCAUUCCAGGAGGUAAAUGCCUUAAACUAGUCAACAAAUUAACCAAUACUGCUCCAGGUUCAUCAUCUAAACUUUCAUUUUGAUCCUCAAUGGAGUUGGCAAUGCCAUGCUUUGGACUCGCAUUCUGUUCAAUGCCCUUGUUAAUGUUGUUCUUGUUAGAAUUACUGAGAAUUGACAAGUCAGACUUAGAUUUUGAAAGUUCAAGGCCAUUUUGUUGAGGAUCAUCCAAUAAUGGUGCUGAAUCUGAUAAACGGUGGGACUGACUUGCGAUAAUUGGAACCUCCUUUGCAAAAUAUAGAGUUACAAGAGUGCACAGAGUGAGGAAUACCUGCACAUAUGGCAAACAAAUUAUCAGAUGCAAGUAAAAAGUAGAAAUAUUGGUGCCAGCAGGUAAUAAAACACAAACAAACUAUUAAAGAUAUUAUCUCACUUGAUAUCCAAGUGAGCAUGAAACAAAAUGAAAUGUAAUUAAAAGAUGAAUAAAAGAAGAUUCUGGAUCCACCUUCACUUUACAAACACAUUAAAUAAAUGCACAUACAACCAACUGAUGAUCAUUUAUGAUAAAGGCAAAUAGUACUUUAACAUGAAGCAUACCUUGGAACGUUAUAAUCCUAAUCAUGUGUCUCUUAAACAAAAAAAAUCCUCCAGCAUAUGCCCCUUGAAUUUUAGAUGGAUUGUCUGUUUUUUCAUGCGUAGUUUUUAAAUUUAAUCAAAUUUUCCAACUUCGUAUAUUCUCUCUAUAGGUGGCUCAUUCUUUCUAUCCUCUCGAUGAAUUUUGUCUUAAUUGUUCCUUAUUUCCUACUUCCAGCAGCAAGUGUCUCCAACUUCAUCAUUUUCCUUUUCAGCCAAAAUUUGUUAUAAAUCCAGUUUCAAGCAAUCUUUCAUAUGACCUUCUUAUCCUUGUCUAAAUUUAUUUUAUGAAGUUAUAUCCUUUCACCAUGGUUGUGUGAGUAACUCUGCAACCAAGAUGUAAAGGGACCAACUUUCAGCAUACUAACUCAAAACCUCAAAUCAAUAAUAUAAUAGAUAAUUCUUAGGUGGUCUUCAGGUAACCCAAGACCUUGGCAACUUAUACAUGAGGAAGUUGCAUUUAAAUUACAAAGUUUUAUUUAAAUUACAAAGUUUGAUAUUCCUUUUCUUCAACAAGAGCUAGUACCAAACUUUAUGCAUCCAACAAUGGGGAGUGAUAUCCCACUAGAACUGGUUUUAAUUCGUUCUUUCUUUUGCCCUAAAAGAUUUUGGAAAGAAGUCCCACAAGAGCUCUCUACAUUCGGCUCACUGAAAUCACUUACACAUUUCUUCAAAACAAAACUCAACCAACUUACAGGUCCCCAAAACCCAAGGUACGAUGUCUAAACCAAGGAAGCCGAUCUUAAGCCACAACAUUGCAAAUUAAAAUAAGAAAUAAUAGUCAAUGAGAGCAUUUAACCAAACUAAAAGUGCCAUGGAACUCGCCACUGCAACAAGAAAUGCAGCUUUCAGAUUUCCACAAGCUUCACAACAGGCUCUGCUCAUCAAGGAAGGAAACCACCUGUUCCAACUCCCGCUAGCACCAGCAGAAAAUCCUAAAAUAUUUCCAACAGCCAUCCAUGAGCAAAAUACAGCAUUUGCAGAAUUACGUUGAUCAGGACCUGAUAAAUCAGCCAGAAGGGCACGUGCUGGUCCCUGCACUGUAUUGUUGGCAAGAUCUAGCAACCAGAACCCAAUAACAAAAACAAAUGCUGCCCUUGUUCGAGUGCCUUUGAAUGUACUACAAUGCUCCUCUGUAUCCCCUAACAUAUAUCCAAUGUCUGCAGAAAAUCCGAUUAUUAUCACAGCAACUGAGAUCAUUAGAGAUCCAGCAAGAAUAAAUGGCCGUCUUCUUCCAAAUUUUGAAGAGCACUUAUCACUCCAAAUACCAACACAAGGUUGAAUCUAAAAGUUCAUUCUAAUUAAUAAGUAAUGCAAUUCCAACUUUAAGUCAAGAAAUAAUAAAAGAGGGAGAAGAAAAUAAUUCAAUCAAUUGGUGUUAAAGUCAUUUAAAACUAUAUUGAACGCUCACAUCCAUCACCAGCCAAAACUUCAUUAGAAAAAGAACAUGUUUUCUCAUGAGUAGGGUAUAAUGUCAUGUGAAAUGCAAGAAAACUUCAAUGAGAUUACAGCACAAAAAGUAUGACUAUCUUAAUUCUCUUAAAAUUCCAAGCAUGCUGAACUGCCUGCUUAUUGCAGCUGGAGGCCAAAAGUGCAUUUGCAGCGAAGUUGCACAAUCAUUACAGUAACCAGUUGAUUUCUCAUUGUAAAUGAAAGCACAAAUAACAUAGUUUAGUUCUGAAAAUGAAGGACCAAGCACCUAAUCAAAUUGGCAUUUUAUUCUACAAUAAUCAUUAAGGACCAUUACAAGUACAGUGUAAUAAUAAAUGUCUUGGGCUUGCAAGCAAGAGGUUGGAAGCUGAAGGUGAAAUUGAUUAUUUCACUCAACGAUAUGAAAGGGUUCCUUUCCAAGAACUUGCUUCUACCGUAACUGGUAAUAGCUUCUUUGUUUUAUGAUGGUGAUAAAAUAAAAAUGAAUGUUCAUGUGUAUCAGCUCCUGACCCAAUUUAUAACUUAUAUCAGUAAAGGCAUAUAACAGUAGCCCAGCAACAAAGUUCAUCCAAUUAAAGCAACCAACGAUCAUACUAUGUUUUCACACCAUAGAAAUUCCAAGAUGACAAAACUUAGUACAAAGAAAGAUAGGUACUCUGCUCAAUGCAUCACUGUAGAUCUCAAUUUCAUGAGGAAACUUAAAAUAUUAAAAUUCAGCAAAACUAGCAAAAAAGUAUAGAAACAAAUAACUAUUUGCCAUCACCUAC